CUACGGGUUGCAGCAGUGGGGAAUAUUGCACAAUGGGCGCAAGCCUGAUCCAGCCAUGCCGCGUGUAUGAAGAAGGCCUUCGGGUUGUAAAGUACUUUCAGCGGGGAGGAAGGGAGUAAAGUUAAUACCUUUGCUCAUUGACGUUACCCGCAGAAGAAGCACCGGCUAACUCCGUGCCAGCAGCCGCGGUAAUACGGAGGGUGCAAGCGUUAAUCGGAAUUACUGGGCGUAAAGCGCACGCAGGCGGUUUGUUAAGUCAGAUGUGAAAUCCCCGGGCUCAACCUGGGAACUGCAUCUGAUACUGGCAAGCUUGAGUCUCGUAGAGGGGGGGAGAAUUCCAGGUGUAGCGGUGAAAUGCGUAGAGAUCUGGAGGAAUACCGGUGGCGAAGGCGGCCCCCUGGACGAAGACUGACGCUCAGGUGCGAAAGCGUGGGGAGCAAACAGGAUUAGAUACCCUUGUAGUC
RNAcentral lists this ribosomal RNA (464 nucleotides) under uncultured bacterium. RNAcentral describes it as "partial 16S ribosomal RNA". It matches the Rfam family "Bacterial small subunit ribosomal RNA", at positions 339 to 795 of the family's 1533-position model. The record is from RNAcentral.